This 408-nucleotide ribosomal RNA is filed under the name uncultured bacterium. RNAcentral's name for it is "partial 16S ribosomal RNA". It matches the Rfam family "Bacterial small subunit ribosomal RNA", at positions 28 to 526 of the family's 1533-position model. The record is from RNAcentral.
GACGAACGCUGGCGGCGUGCCUAAUACAUGCAAGUAGAACGCAGUUGCGAACGGGUGAGUAACGCGUAGGUAACCUGCCUCAUAGCGGGGGAUAACUCUUGGAAACGUUAGCUAUUACCGCAUACUGUGAGAGGGAGCUGCGUUGUAUUUGGUAGUUGGUGAGGUAAAGGCUCACCAUGGCGACGAUACAUAGCCGACCUGAGAGGGUGAACGGCCAACCCGGGACUGCGACACCGGCCGGACACCUACGGGAGGCAGCAGUUGGGAAUCUUAGGAAACGGAGGGAAGUCUGACCGCGCACCGCCGCGGGAUUGAAGGAGGGUUUCGGGUCGUAAAGGUCUGUGCUGAGGGAAGCGUUAACUACCCAGAAAGCGACGGCUAACUCCGUGCCAGCAGCCGCGGUAAUUC